UCUGGCAAGGUGAAGAGCUGGUCUGUUUGGCAGGACCUUCCCAUCUGGGAUCCAUCUGUGUUUCCCUGGAAUGGGACAGGCAGCUCUAGUCAGUGAGAAAUCGCAGAUGUGAGAGAGCUGACACAUGUCCAGCUAAUGAAAGGAGGAGGAAGGCUGGUCUCCGAUUGAGCUUUGAAGAUUAGGAGGAGAAAAAGAGGAGCUUUGGAAUAUCUAUUUCAAAUAAAUUUGGUGUAUUUAAGAAUCUGGAUUGUUUAUAAUUUGGGCAUUUGGG
RNAcentral lists this long non-coding RNA (271 nucleotides) under Homo sapiens (human). RNAcentral describes it as "non-protein coding lnc-C20orf144-2:1". Lineage: Eukaryota; Metazoa; Chordata; Mammalia; Primates; Hominidae. The record is from RNAcentral.